UACUCCCAACAAGGAUGGGUGUAUUUCUCCCACAGUUUUUAUUACAUUUCUUCUAUUAACAAGUCCUGGCAAGACAGUAGAGACGACUGUCUGCAAAGAGGUGCAGACCUGAUCAUUAUCAACAGCAGAGAAGAACAGGAAUUUGCAAGAAAGUUCAAAGGGCUCAGCUGGAUUGGACUGACUGACAGUGAGACAGAGGGGACAUGGACAUGGGUGGAUGGGACUGCACUGAACACAAGCUACUGGAAAGCUGGGGAGCCCAACAGCCAUCAAGGCAUUGAUGAAGACUGUGGAGAAAUAAAGCUUUAUGACAGGGAAUACAACUGGAAUGAUUCACCAUGUAAAAAGCUAAACUUCUGGAUCUGUGAGAAGGUGGUGGCUCCAUGACUCAGCAUCCAAAUCUGCCCUAGACUGGCGAUCGAUAAGCUGCAGGGGAAGUGUCUCAUCAUCAUGUACGAACACCAACAUGUCACCACAGGAAAAACACAGGUGUCAAUAAUAAAAUGAAUGAUGGCUAAAGUCCAUGUAACUGCUUCACUUUCAGGGUCCUGGUGUG
Epinephelus moara (kelp grouper) is the source of this 556-nucleotide long non-coding RNA. RefSeq lists it as uncharacterized. Lineage: Eukaryota; Metazoa; Chordata; Actinopteri; Perciformes; Serranidae. The record is from RefSeq and is a predicted model, not a curated record. The transcript is spliced from 3 exons.